AUUGAACGCUGGCGGCAUGCCUUACACAUGCAAGUCGAACGGCAGCGGACCUUCGGGUGCCGGCGAGUGGCGAACGGGUGAGUAAUAUAUCGGAACGUACCUUUCAGUGGGGGAUAACGUAGCGAAAGUUACGCUAAUACCGCAUAUUUCUAGUGAGCAGGAAAGCAGGGGAUCGCAAGACCUUGCGCUGAUUGAGCGGCCGAUAUCAGAUUAGCUAGUUGGUGAGGUAAAGGCUCACCAAGGCGACGAUCUGUAGCGGGUCUGAGAGGAUGAUCCGCCACACUGGAACUGAGACACGGUCCAGACUCCUACGGGAGGCAGCAGUGGGGGAAUUUUGGACAAUGGGCGCAAGCCUGAUCCGAGCCAUGCCGCGUGAGUGAAGAAGGCCC
RNAcentral lists this ribosomal RNA (389 nucleotides) under uncultured bacterium. RNAcentral's name for it is "bacterial SSU rRNA". It matches the Rfam family "Bacterial small subunit ribosomal RNA", at positions 30 to 417 of the family's 1533-position model. The record is from RNAcentral.